Molecule: ribosomal RNA, 206 nt
Filed under: uncultured bacterium
Lineage: Bacteria
Description: partial 16S ribosomal RNA
Rfam family: Bacterial small subunit ribosomal RNA
Source: RNAcentral
ACGCUCGACACCUACGGAAGGCAGCAGUUGGGAAUAUUGGACAAUGGAGGAAACUCUGAUCCAGUGACGCCGCGUGAAGGAAGAAGGUCUUCGGAUUGUAAACUUAUUUUGUCAGGGAAGAAAAAAUGACUGUACCUGAAGAAAAAGACACCGGCUAACUACGUGCCUGCACGCCGGCGGUAAUCUGAGGCGGGCGUGGCGAAGGC